Molecule: ribosomal RNA, 274 nt
Filed under: uncultured bacterium
Lineage: Bacteria
Description: partial 16S ribosomal RNA
Rfam family: Bacterial small subunit ribosomal RNA
Source: RNAcentral
AUACGGAGGGAGCAAGCGUUAUUCGGAAUCACUGGGCGUAAAGGACGCGUAGGCGGGUUUGUAAGUCAGGUGUGAAAUCCUAUAGCUCAACUGUAGAACUGCACUUGAAACUACAGACGUAGAGUAUGGAAGGGGCAGAUGGAAUUAGUGGUGUAGGGGUAAAAUCCGUAGAUAUCACUAGGAAUACCGAAAGCGAAGGCGAUCUGCUGGGACAUUACUGACGCUGAGGCGUGAAAGCGUGGGGAGCAAACAGGAUUAGAAACCCGUGUAGUAC